Molecule: non-coding RNA, 718 nt
Organism: Chelonoidis abingdonii (Abingdon island giant tortoise)
Lineage: Eukaryota; Metazoa; Chordata; Testudines; Testudinidae
Source: RefSeq, a predicted model, not a curated record
CAUAUGUGUAUUCCACAUUAGUUAUUUAUUUAGUGUGUGCAUAGUCAUCUAGCCAAGUGAUGGCAUCUUCAGUGGUGUGAUGCAGUUCUUCUAGGCCACCACUGAACCUAGUCAGCAGGUUUUCAUCGACAAUGUGUGUCAUUGUCUGUGUUGCACCGCAGAUGCACAAAUGGCUAAUCUGUUCAACAGGGACCAUUGAUGAUGGGGCAGGUCAAAACCAGGCAGGCAAAUUGUGGGGUUGGUGAUGAGGGACUAGUUGGGAAAUAUAGCAAAUAUCCAUUCAUCUCGCCAGAGUGUUUCUGCCCUAACAUCCUGGCGUGGUGGAUGAGACCAUAAUGGGCAACAUGAUGGCAAACGUGCAGCUGGUGGUUUAAAAAGGUCAUUGUGCAGCGGCAGGCUUGAGUUGGCACAUACUUUCUCCAGUAACUUGCCGGUGGCAACCUCUCAUCUGAUAUGAGGAGAAGCAGUAUUGCUCAGAACUGGAAGCCAUGGGAGUGCAGUCGGACACUAGGUGCCAGAGAUGAUACGCUGGCAGCAUGUAACUGUGUAUCCACUAGUUUGGGUGUGACAAUCGACUCCAAACUGGUGCACAAUACUCCGCCACCGAAUACGAGGUGGCAAGAGCUGACAUCCGCAAGGUUGGAACACGAACAUCCCAUGACGAACCUGCCAGUUUGCUAAGAAGAUUAUUGCACGUCUUAAGUUUAGCUGCUGUCUU